RNAcentral lists this ribosomal RNA (424 nucleotides) under Verrucomicrobiota bacterium. RNAcentral describes it as "Verrucomicrobia bacterium partial 16S ribosomal RNA". It matches the Rfam family "Bacterial small subunit ribosomal RNA", at positions 355 to 776 of the family's 1533-position model. Lineage: Bacteria; Pseudomonadati; Verrucomicrobiota. The record is from RNAcentral.
UGAGGAAUAUUGGUCAAUGGACGCAAGUCUGAACCAGCCAAGUAGCGUGCAGGAUGACGGCACUAUGGGUUGUAAACUGCUUUUAUAUGGGGAUAAAGUGGGGAACGUGUUCCCUUUUGCAGGUACCAUAUGAAUAAGGACCGGCUAAUUCCGUGCCAGCAGCCGCGGUAAUACGGAAGGUUCGGGCGUUAUCCGGAUUUAUUGGGUUUAAAGGGAGCGUAGGCCGUUUGGUAAGCGUGUUGUGAAAUGUAGGAGCUCAACUUCUAGAUUGCAGCGCGAACUGUCAGACUUGAGUGCGCACAACGUAGGCGGAAUUCAUGGUGUAGCGGUGAAAUGCUUAGAUAUCAUGAAGAGCUCCGAUUGCGAAGGCAGCUUACGGGAGCGCAACUGACGCUGAAGCUCGAAGGUGCGGGUAUCGAACAGG